This 465-nucleotide ribosomal RNA is filed under the name Vreelandella stevensii. RNAcentral describes it as "partial 16S ribosomal RNA". It matches the Rfam family "Bacterial small subunit ribosomal RNA", at positions 338 to 795 of the family's 1533-position model. Lineage: Bacteria; Pseudomonadati; Pseudomonadota; Gammaproteobacteria; Oceanospirillales; Halomonadaceae. The record is from RNAcentral.
CCUACGGGCGGCUGCAGUGGGGAAUAUUGGACAAUGGGCGAAAGCCUGAUCCAGCCAUGCCGCGUGUGUGAAGAAGGCCAUCGGGUUGUAAAGCACUUUCAGUGGGGAAGAAAGCCUUGGGGCUAAUACCCUCGAGGAAGGACAUCACCCACAGAAGAAGCACCGGCUAACUCCGUGCCAGCAGCCGCGGUAAUACGGAGGGUGCGAGCGUUAAUCGGAAUUACUGGGCGUAAAGCGCGCGUAGGCGGUCUGAUAAGCCGGUUGUGAAAGCCCCGGGCUCAACCUGGGAACGGCAUCCGGAACUGUCAGGCUAGAGUGCAGGAGAGGAAGGUAGAAUUCCCGGUGUAGCGGUGAAAUGCGUAGAGAUCGGGAGGAAUACCAGUGGCGAAGGCGGCCUUCUGGACUGACACUGACGCUGAGGUGCGAAAGCGUGGGUAGCAAACAGGAUUAGAUACCCGUGUAGUC